Molecule: ribosomal RNA, 946 nt
Filed under: Helvella solitaria
Lineage: Eukaryota; Fungi; Ascomycota; Pezizomycetes; Pezizales; Helvellaceae
Description: partial large subunit ribosomal RNA
Rfam family: Eukaryotic large subunit ribosomal RNA
Source: RNAcentral
ACCCGCUGAACUUAAGCAUAUCAAUAAGCGGAGGAAAAGAAACCAACAGGGAUUGCCCCAGUAACGGCGAGUGAAGCGGCAGGAGCUUAAAUUUGAAAUCUGGGGUCGCCGACCUCCGAGUUGUAAUUUGGAGAGGCAUCUUCGGGGUGGAGCGCCGGCCCCAUGUUCCUUGGAACAGGACGUCGCAGAGGGUGAGAAUCCCGUGCCAGGCCGGCCGCYUCCGCCCCAUCGAGGGGCCUUCGACGAGUCGAGUUGUUUGGGAAUGCAGCUCCAAGUGGGUGGUAAAUUUCAUCUAAAGCUAAAUACCGGCGGGAGACCGAUAGCGCACAAGUAGAGUGAUCGAAAGAUGAAAAGCACUUUGAAAAUAGAGUCAAAAAGUACGUGAAAUUGUUGAAAGGGAAGCGCUUGAGACCAGACCCAGACCCGGGCAAACACCGCGCCCCUCGGGGCCGUGCAAUUGCCCGUGGCUGGGCCAGCAUCAGUCGGCCCGGCGGGACAAAUGCGAGGGGAAUGUGUCUCCCCUCGGGGAGUGUUUAUUAGCCCCUCGCCCAAUGCCGCCCGAGCCGACUGUGGACCGCGCCUCGGCUAGGAUGCUGGCUUAAUGGCCUUCAGCGACCCRUCUUGAAACACGGACCAAGGAGUCUAACAUCUAUGCGAGUGUUUGGGCUUCAAACCCUUGCGCGGAAUGAAAGUGAGCGGAGGUGGGAACCCCCCCGCGGGGCGCACCAUCGACCGAUCCUGAUGUCCUCGGAUGGAUUUGAGUAGGAGCAUAGCUGUUGGGACCCGAAAGAUGGUGAACUAUGCCUGAAUAGGGUGAAGCCAGAGGAAACUCUGGUGGAGGCUCGCAGCGGUUCUGACGUGCAAAUCGAUCGUCAAAUUUGGGUAUAGGGGCGAAAGACUAAUCGAACCWUCUAGUAGCUGGUUCCUGCCGAAGUUUCCCUCAGGA